UACGUAGGGGGCUAGCGUUAUCCGGAAUUACUGGGCGUAAAGGGUGCGCAGGUGGUUUCUUAAGUCAGAGGUGAAAGGCUACGGCUCAACCGUAGUAAGCCUUUGAAACUGGGAAACUUGAGUGCAGGAGAGGAGAGUGGAAUUCCUAGUGUAGCGGUGAAAUGCGUAGAUAUUAGGAGGAACACCAGUUGCGAAGGCGGCUCUCUGGACUGUAACUGACACUGAGGCACGAAAGCGUGGGGAGCAAACAGGAUUAGAUACCCGUGUAGUCCCUGA
RNAcentral lists this ribosomal RNA (276 nucleotides) under uncultured prokaryote. RNAcentral describes it as "partial 16S ribosomal RNA". It matches the Rfam family "Bacterial small subunit ribosomal RNA", at positions 524 to 800 of the family's 1533-position model. The record is from RNAcentral.